UACGGAGGGAGCUAGCGUUGUUCGGAAUUACUGGGCGUAAAGCGCGCGUAGGCGGCUUUGUAAGUUAGAGGUGAAAGCCCGGGGCUCAACCCCGGAAUUGCCUUUAAGACUGCAUCGCUUGAAUCCGGGAGAGGUGAGUGGAAUUCCGAGUGUAGAGGUGAAAUUCGUAGAUAUUCGGAAGAACACCAGUGGCGAAGGCGGCUCACUGGACCGGUAUUGACGCUGAGGUGCGAAAGCGUGGGGAGCAAACAGGA
Molecule: ribosomal RNA, 254 nt
Filed under: uncultured prokaryote
Description: partial 16S ribosomal RNA
Rfam family: Bacterial small subunit ribosomal RNA
Source: RNAcentral